AUUCAUUGCUCCUGAGUGAAAUAUGAUCAGUCUCUUGAAGGACGCAUAGUCAGUAUUAAACAAACCAGUGAUUACAACGCUCGAUAAUUGUCUCCUUUUCAUACUUAAUCAUGUACAAUUAUCUUCAACAGGAGAUUAGAUCCCAGUGGAGUUCAGAUUGCCCCCAAUCACAAUAACAUUAUUACAGAGUCUCCAGAAAAGGGAGCAACAGGUACAGCAACAUAUUGUUUGAAAUGUAAGCCCUGAAACACGGGUGAAAAGGUGAGGAACAUUUUAACAAUGUAAAGGCCGCC
Non-coding RNA from Pelobates cultripes (western spadefoot toad), 293 nucleotides. The record is from the annotation of a GenBank genome assembly. NCBI's taxonomy places the organism in Eukaryota, Metazoa, Chordata, Amphibia, Anura, Pelobatidae.